GUUGGUUUGUUGAAUUUUAGGAAAAAUCGCCCAAGAACAUUCAAAAGUGUUUAGGAUAUUAUUAAGGCUUUUAGGGUAUUUUAAUCUGGUUUUGGAAAGGAGAGUUCGUUAGAGUAAAAGGGAUAAAGGCUUGGUCAAAAUCCGAUAGCAUUUAUUGCUAUAGGAUUAGUCAGAGUGUUUUGGGGAAAAGGUUUGGAGGUUAUCAUGACGAAAAGGAGCGGCUACCUAUGUCACAAUUGUAUUUAUUUUUGUCUUAAUAUUAGGGCAUGGAAUCGAUUAGGAUUGGGCCAUACAUGGGCCUGACCCGAAUUUUUCCUCAUAUCACCACGAGUUUACUGCUCCAACCCCUUUGCUCAUUGGGAUCUAGUGGGCUUUAUGCUUUUGAGCCCACUCUGUUUCAAUAAUUUUUUUUAUAUGUUAUAUAUUCUUUUAUUAAUUAAAACAUGGUUAAGUUGA
Lathyrus oleraceus (garden pea) is the source of this 456-nucleotide long non-coding RNA. RefSeq lists it as uncharacterized. The record is from RefSeq and is a predicted model, not a curated record. The transcript is spliced from 2 exons. NCBI's taxonomy places the organism in Eukaryota, Viridiplantae, Streptophyta, Magnoliopsida, Fabales, Fabaceae.